GACGAACGCUGGCGGCGUGCUUAACACAUGCAAGUCGAGCGGUAAGGCCCUUUCGGGGGUACGACGAGCGGCGAACGGGUGAGUAACACGUGGGUGACCUGCCCUUACGCUCUGGGAUAAGCCUGGGAAACUGGGUCUAAUACCGGAUAUGACUCCAUGACGCAUGUUGUGGGGUGGAAAGCCUUGUGCGGCUAGGGAUGGGCCCGCGGCCUAUCAGCUUGUUGGUGGGGUGAUGGCCACCAAGGCGACGACGGGUAGCCGGCCUGAGAGGGCGACCGGCCACACUGGGACUGAGACACGGCCCAGACUCCUACGGGAGGCAGCAGUGGGGAAUCUUGCGCAAUGGGCGAAAGCCUGACGCAGCGACGCCGCGU
RNAcentral lists this ribosomal RNA (374 nucleotides) under uncultured bacterium. Its description in RNAcentral is "bacterial SSU rRNA". It matches the Rfam family "Bacterial small subunit ribosomal RNA", at positions 28 to 402 of the family's 1533-position model. The record is from RNAcentral.